RNAcentral lists this ribosomal RNA (497 nucleotides) under uncultured bacterium. RNAcentral's name for it is "partial 16S ribosomal RNA". It matches the Rfam family "Bacterial small subunit ribosomal RNA", at positions 28 to 507 of the family's 1533-position model. The record is from RNAcentral.
GAUGAACGCUGGCGGCGUGCCUAAUACAUGCAAGUCGAACGGACAGGCCAGGAGCUUGCUGCUCUGACGUUAGCGGCGGGCGGGUGAGUAACGCGUGGAUCACCUCCCUAUCAGACUGGGAUAACUACGAAAAACCGGCGCUAAUACCGGAGAAUAUAUUGAACCACGUGGUUCAAUAGUGAAAUACGGUGUUGCUGUCACGAAUAGAUGGAUCCGCGCCGCAUUAGCUAGUUGGUCAGGUAAAGGCCUACCAAGGCGAGCAUGCGUAGCCGACCUGAGAGACGGAUAGGCCACACUGGAACGUAACCACGGUCAAUACUCCUACGAGAGGCAGCAGUCGCGAAUCGUCCGCAACAGGCGAGAACCUGACGCAGCAAGGCGGCGUGUGUGAUGAAGGCCUUCCGUGCGGAAUACUCUGCUUUGAGGGAAGAACAAAUGUGUAAGUAAACAUGCCGGGCUUGACGGUACCUAAUCAGAAAGCCACGGCUAACUACGUG